GAAAUGCGAUAAGUAGUGUGAAUUGCAGAAUUCAGUGAAUCAUCGAAUCUUUGAACGCACAUUGCGCCCCUUGGUAUUCCAUGGGGCAUGCCUGUUCGAGCGUCAUUUGUACCCUCAAGCUCUGCUUGGUGUUGGGUGUUUGUCCCGUCUCCGCGCGUGGACUCGCCCCAAAGUGAUUGGCAGCCGGCGUACUGGUCCCGAAGCGCAGCACAUGUCGCGCAAACGAGUGCCUUGGUACGGCGGCGUCCAUAAGCCCCUCUCUCACGCUCUUGACCUCGGAUCAGGUAGGGAUACCCGCUGAACUUAAGC
RNAcentral lists this unclassified non-coding RNA (309 nucleotides) under plant metagenome. RNAcentral's name for it is "partial contains 5.8S ribosomal RNA, internal transcribed spacer 2, and large subunit ribosomal RNA". The stretch from base 1 to 105 matches the Rfam family "5.8S ribosomal RNA", at positions 50 to 154 of the family's 154-position model. The record is from RNAcentral.